Molecule: transfer RNA, 72 nt
Filed under: Camelus bactrianus (Bactrian camel)
Lineage: Eukaryota; Metazoa; Chordata; Mammalia; Artiodactyla; Camelidae
Also listed under: 3 other names
Rfam family: tRNA
About the family: Transfer RNA (tRNA) molecules are approximately 80 nucleotides in length. Their secondary structure includes four short double-helical elements and three loops (D, anti-codon, and T loops). Further hydrogen bonds mediate the characteristic L-shaped molecular structure. tRNAs have two regions of fundamental functional importance: the anti-codon, which is responsible for specific mRNA codon recognition, and the 3' end, to which the tRNAs corresponding amino acid is attached (by aminoacyl-tRNA synthetases). tRNAs cope with the degeneracy of the genetic code in two manners: having more than one tRNA (with a specific anti-codon) for a particular amino acid; and 'wobble' base-pairing, i.e. permitting non-standard base-pairing at the 3rd anti-codon position.
Source: Rfam by way of RNAcentral
GAGGAUAUAGCUUAGUGGUAGAGUGCGUGCUUAGCAUGCAUGAGGUCCUGGGUUCAAUCCCCAGUGCCUCCA